This 223-nucleotide ribosomal RNA is filed under the name uncultured bacterium. RNAcentral's name for it is "partial 16S ribosomal RNA". It matches the Rfam family "Bacterial small subunit ribosomal RNA", at positions 30 to 248 of the family's 1533-position model. The record is from RNAcentral.
AUUGAACGCUGGCGGCAGGCCUAACACAUGCAAGUCGAACGGCAGCACAGAGAGCUUGCUCUCGGGUGACGAGUGGCGGACGGGUGAGUAAUGUCUGGGAAACUGCCCGAUGGAGGGGGAUAACUACUGGAGACGGUAGCUAAUACCGCAUAACGUCGCAAGACCAAAGAGGGGGACCUUCGGGCCUCUUGCCAUCGGAUGUGCCCAGGUGGGAGUUAGCUUG